UUCUGAGUGGUGUACAUCAUUUUCUUAUGGUUUGGCCUACCUUAUGAUUGGAUCCGCCAUAUUUUCCCCUUGUAUGAUAAUCAUGGUCAGGUGCAUCUGUUGCAUCGUUUGGAUGUCAAACAAAUACCAUGGUGCCCACAAUUCUCGAUUAUCCACUUCUUUAAAGAAAAAUUGAAUAAGGGCAUUUAUGCAAUUUCUUCCCUUAAGGAGCAACAUCAGAGAAUUUUGGUUCUUCAAGACACUAUUUGGUAAAAUCUCAACUGCUGUGGAAUUUUAUGUUAGUUUUAGGGAAGAACUUGUACCAACUGUACAGAAAUCAGGGCACACUUUUAAUGGGAUAACAUGCUGGCAAUUAAUUUGCCAUGUGAUGUUUCAUGGUUUUGGAUGUCAUGCGCACCGUAGUCAUAUUAGUUUUGGUGGAAUUGGUGCGACUAGGAGUCUAGGACCACCAAUAUGUUAAAAUCGGAUGACUAAGUCCCUAAUUGGUCCGACUCGUCUCAAGACGAGUCUGGUCAAACCGUACAAUUCAACCUGAUAUGGACCUAAUUAGGAAGAGUUGCACAAUGCAACCUGUCGGAAGCUUAUAAAUACGAGGAUGGUUUUUCCAAAGCCCAUUUUCACCCUUUUUUCUUGUUUCCAAAGUUCAAUAGGAGAGUAAGAUUUUGAAGACUAUUGCCAUCCGUUUCAAGAUAAAUGCGCUUUCAAAUCUUUGGAUUUGCCUUCCAAAGUUUCAGAUGGAAAAUACCCAUUGCGGUUUCUCAUCUUUGAGAUAAGAUUUCUUUUUUAAACAUUUUGGUGUUUUAGCUGGUUUCAACUCAAGAUCAUAGAUUCAUAGAUCCAUGGGUUUGGGAUUAGAUCCGUGAAUGGAUGAAUGGUAUUUAAAAUAUUUUUUUAUAUUAAAAUAGUCUAAAGAUGUUAAAAAAAAA
Molecule: long non-coding RNA, 926 nt
Organism: Magnolia sinica
Lineage: Eukaryota; Viridiplantae; Streptophyta; Magnoliopsida; Magnoliales; Magnoliaceae
Exons: 2
Source: RefSeq, a predicted model, not a curated record